RNAcentral lists this long non-coding RNA (411 nucleotides) under Papio anubis (olive baboon). RNAcentral's name for it is "lncRNA (ENSPANG00000045111.1)". Lineage: Eukaryota; Metazoa; Chordata; Mammalia; Primates; Cercopithecidae. The record is from RNAcentral.
AUGGAGCCAUCAGGCUGCAGCCAACUGAUGACACUGGAUGUGGUGUUUAUUAAUCUACUUGUAAAGGCUGGGCUACAAGAAGUCUUAGGAGGACUCCUUUCCAACAGGGUCACCUCACUGCCUCCAACUCCUACAAAUGAGCCCAUCCAGAAAACUGUCUCUGGAGCAUGUGCCUGUUUCCAUCUUUUGCACAGUUUGAGGCCAUGUGUAAGGAUGGGAGAAGCUUGCCUGGCCUCCAGCCUGGAUGCCAGUCAGAACAAUGGUUCUCUGCUUUGGUGCCAGAGUCACAAGCAGUGUUCUAGGAUGGAGUUUCCUUCUGUUGCCCAGGCUGGCAUGUGGUGCACUGCAACUUGUAUCUCCCGGGUUCAAGCGAUUCAUGUGUUUCAGCCUCCCAAGCAGCUGGGACUAUAG